This is a non-coding RNA of Chrysemys picta bellii (western painted turtle), 585 nucleotides long. Lineage: Eukaryota; Metazoa; Chordata; Testudines; Emydidae. The record is from RefSeq and is a predicted model, not a curated record.
AACAGUGUUGUUUCAGACUACAUUUUUAGUGGUGGUUGAUGAGAUUGUAACAGUGUUGGUUACAGUGUUGGCUAAGAUGGUAGUGGUUAUGAUGCUGGUAACAGUGUUGGUUAACACUUUAUUGGCUGUUGUGGUGAUGACAGAAUUGGUCGUGUGGUUCAGUGUUAGCAGAGGUUGGUGCAGCUACAUUGCUGGUGACACUGUCAAAUCAGUAUUGGGGCUGGUGGUGGUUGAGGCUGAGAAUGCAGUGGUGCCAAGGACAGUGUUGGGGGUGGUUAUUGCGGGUGUGUUCAUGGUGACGGUGUUAGUUCAGACUGUACGGGUAGUGGUGGUAACAAUUAAGGUGGUAGGGUGAGUGAUAAUGUUGACUGAGUUUCGCUCCAAUUCCCUCGCACCCAUCCUGCUCUCUGAUUCCCCCCUCCCCCCCCCCGGAUCUCUCCCUAGCUCCCGUUUGAGAAGGACUGCGGCAGUGACAAAGUCUGCACUGAUGAACUACAAAUUUCCUUCAAUUUCUCAGGCUUGAGUACCCUGGUGGUGGGGGUCACCCCCGAACUCACCACCACCAUCUCCAUCCAGAACCGUGGG